RNAcentral lists this transfer RNA (73 nucleotides) under Streptomyces phage Percastrophe. RNAcentral describes it as "tRNA-Val". It matches the Rfam family "tRNA". From Rfam's summary of the family: Transfer RNA (tRNA) molecules are approximately 80 nucleotides in length. Their secondary structure includes four short double-helical elements and three loops (D, anti-codon, and T loops). Lineage: Duplodnaviria; Heunggongvirae; Uroviricota; Caudoviricetes. RNAcentral also lists the same sequence under 1 other name. The record is from RNAcentral.
ACCCGGUUCGUCCAAUGGGAGGGCCGCUGCCUUACAAGCAGCAGACGAGGGUUCGAUUCCUUCACUGGGUACC